AGUGAACGCUGGCGGUAGGCCUAACACAUGCAAGUCGAACGGCAGCACAGUAAGAGCUUGCUCUUACGGGUGGCGAGUGGCGGACGGGUGAGGAAUACAUCGGAAUCUACUUUUUCGUGGGGGAUAACGUAGGGAAACUUACGCUAAUACCGCAUACGACCUACGGGUGAAAGCAGGGGAUCUUCGGACCUUGCGCGAUUGAAUGAGCCGAUGUCGGAUUAGCUAGUUGGCGGGGUAAAGGCCUACCAAGGCGACGAUCCGUAGCUGGUCUGAGAGGAUGAUCAGCCACACUGGAACUGAGACACGGUCCAGACCCCUACGGGAGGCAGCAGUGGGGAAUAUUGGACAAUGGGCGCAAGCCUGAUCCAGCCAUACCGCGUGGGUGAAGAAGGCCUUCGGGUUGUAAAGCCCUUUUGUUGGGAAAGAAAAGCAGCAGGUUAAUACCCCGCUGUUCUGACGGUACCCAAAGAAUAAGCACCGGCUAACUUCGUG
This 492-nucleotide ribosomal RNA is filed under the name uncultured bacterium. RNAcentral describes it as "partial 16S ribosomal RNA". It matches the Rfam family "Bacterial small subunit ribosomal RNA", at positions 29 to 507 of the family's 1533-position model. The record is from RNAcentral.